RNAcentral lists this ribosomal RNA (301 nucleotides) under uncultured bacterium. RNAcentral's name for it is "partial 16S ribosomal RNA". It matches the Rfam family "Bacterial small subunit ribosomal RNA", at positions 509 to 809 of the family's 1533-position model. The record is from RNAcentral.
CAGCAGCCGCGGGAAUACGGAGGGUGCAAGCGUUAAUCGGAAUUACUGGGCGUAAAGCGCACGCAGGCGGUCUGACAAGUCAGAUGUGAAAUCCCCGGGCUUAACCUGGGAACUGCAUUUGAAACUGUCAGGCUGGAGUCUUGUAGAGGGGGGUGGAAUUCCAGGUGUAGCGGUGAAAUGCGUAGAGAUCUGGAGGAAUACCGGUGGCGAAGGCGGCCCCCUGGACAAAGACUGACGCUCAGGUGCGAAAGCGUGGGGAGCAAACAGGAUUAGAUACCCCUGUAGUCCCUGUCUCUUAUAU